CCUACGGGAGGCAGCAGUGAGGAAUAUUGGUCAAUGGGCGUAAGCCUGAACCAGCCAAGUCGCGUGAGGGAUGAAGGCUCUAUGGAUCGUAAACCUCUUUUAUAAGGGAAUAAAGUGUGGGACGUGUCCUAUUUUGUAUGUACCUUAUGAAUAAGGAUCGGCUAACUCCGUGCCAGCAGCCGCGGUAAUACGGAGGAUCCGAGCGUUAUCCGGAUUUAUUGGGUUUAAAGGGUGCGUAGGCGGGCUUUUAAGUCAGCGGUGAAAGUCUGUGGCUCAACCCUAGCAUUGCCGUUGAAACUGGGGGGCUUGAGUGUGUGUGAGGCAGGCGGAAUGCGUGGUGUAGCGGUGAAAUGCUUAGAUAUCACGCAGAACCCCGAUUGCGAAGGCAGCCUGCCAGGCCAUGACUGACGCUGAUGCACGAAAGCGUGGGGAUCAAACAGGAUUAGAUACCCGAGUAGUC
Molecule: ribosomal RNA, 460 nt
Filed under: uncultured bacterium
Lineage: Bacteria
Description: partial 16S ribosomal RNA
Rfam family: Bacterial small subunit ribosomal RNA
Source: RNAcentral